RNAcentral lists this ribosomal RNA (439 nucleotides) under uncultured bacterium. Its description in RNAcentral is "partial 16S ribosomal RNA". It matches the Rfam family "Bacterial small subunit ribosomal RNA", at positions 339 to 795 of the family's 1533-position model. The record is from RNAcentral.
CUACGGGGGGCACCAGUGAGGAAUAUUGCACAAUGGGGGGAACCCUGAUGCAGCAACGCCGCGUGGAGGAUGACGCAUUUCGGUGUGUAAACUCCUUUUAUAUGUCAAGAAAAUGACGGUAGCAUAUGAAUAAGCACCGGCUAACUCCGUGCCAGCAGCCGCGGUAAUACGGAGGGUGUAAGCGUUACUCGGAAUCACUGGGCGUAAAGGACGCGUAGGCGGGUUGGAAAGUCAGGUGUGAAAUCCUACAGCUUAACUGUAGAACUGCACUUGAAACUUCUAAUCUAGAGUAUGGGAGGGGGAGGUGGAAUUAGUGGUGUAGGGGUAAAAUCCGUAGAUAUCACUAGGAAUACCUAAAGCGAAGGCGAUCUCCUGGAACAUUACUGACGCUAAGGCGUGAAAGCGUGGGGAGCAAACAGGAUUAGAUACCCCCGUAGUC